RNAcentral lists this long non-coding RNA (563 nucleotides) under Dasypus novemcinctus (nine-banded armadillo). RNAcentral describes it as "lncRNA (ENSDNOG00000050867.1)". Lineage: Eukaryota; Metazoa; Chordata; Mammalia; Cingulata; Dasypodidae. The record is from RNAcentral.
AUGCACGAGAGGACAUGGCUUGGUGGCUGCUGGGGCUGGCAGGGGGAGUGUGGGGCAGCCGCUGCCACCACUCCCUGGAGAGGCCAGGACACAAUCUCCCCGAAAACGCCAUCCUGUGAACUGCUUUUUAAAAAAUACAGGCCCCAAGUGGCCACCGACUCGACGGGUAAUUCAUUUUUACGGCAGCCAGCGUGCCAGGAGGCAAGUGGAAUGUGGCUGAAAGCUCUUGACUGCUCCGGUCCCAACUUUAUUAUUUUUUUCUCCUCCUUGCACUCCUCCCCAGUCCUCACCAAGCUCUCACCAAAGGGAAGCAGAUUUAUGGGAAAGGCAGGGGCAUGUGGGAAAGAGCACUCAACUAGGAGUCCUGGCCUGUCCCCAUUAGCACCAAGACCUCAGUCGGUGGACGCCCCAGGCCCUCUGGAACAUCCCAUUGUUUGCUGAGAAAGUUGGUGCUGGGCUGGAGUCCAGAGAACCAGUAAGCCAUGUGGCAUUGUCUGUAUUUUAUUUUAUGUACUUAAAAAAUUAAACAUUAGAGACCUUCUUCAAGCUAAUUUUUCUUUUGC